Molecule: long non-coding RNA, 1251 nt
Filed under: Salmo salar (Atlantic salmon)
Lineage: Eukaryota; Metazoa; Chordata; Actinopteri; Salmoniformes; Salmonidae
Description: lncRNA (ENSSSAG00000113060.1)
Source: RNAcentral
CCCUAUUCCACACGCAACAGAUCCCCUCCAUGGAAGGACCCUAUUCCACACGCAACAGAUCCCCUCCAUGGAAGGACCCUAUUCCACACGCAACAGAGCUGAUCCCCUCCAUGGAAGGACCCUAUUCCACACGCAACAGAUCCCCUCCAUGGAAGGACCCUAUUCCACACGCAACAGAUCCCCUCCAUGGAAGGACCCUAUUCCACACGCAACAGAGCUGAUCCCCUCCAUGGAAGGACCCUAUUCCACACGCAACAGAUCCCCUCCAUGGAAGGACCCUAUUCCACACGCAACAGAGCUGAUCCCCUCCAUGGAAGGACCCUAUUCCACACGCAACAGAGCUACUUCCCCUCCAUGGAAGGACCCUAUUCCACACGCAACAGAGCUGGUCCCCCUCCAUGGAAGGACCCUAUUCCACACGCAACAGAGCUGAUCCCCCUCCAUGGAAGGACCCUAUUCCACAUGCAACAGAUCCCCUCCAUGGAAGGACCCUAUUCCACACGCAACAGAUCCCCUCCAUGGAAGGACCCUAUUCCACACGCAACAGAUCCGGCCCUCCAUGGAAGGACCCUAUUCCACACGCAACAGAUCCCCUCCAUGGAAGGACCCUAUUCCACAUGCAACAGAUCCCCUCCAUGGAAGGACCCUAUUCCACAAGCAACAGAUCCCCUCCAUGGAAGGACCCUAUUCCACACGCAACAGAUCCCCUCCAUGGAAGGACCCUAUUCCACACGCAACAGAUCCCCUCCAUGGAAGGACCCUAUUCCACACGCAACAGACUUCCCCUCCAUGGCAGGACCCUAUUCCACAUGCAACAGAUCCCCCUCCAUGGAAGGACCCUAUUCCACACGCAACAGAUCCCCUCCAUGGAAGGACCCUAUUCCACACGCAACAGAUCCCCUCCAUGGAAGGACCCUAUUCCACACGGAACAGAGCUGAUCCCCUCCUUGGAAGGACCCUAUUCCACACGCAACAGAUCCCCUCCAUGGAAGGACCCUAUUCCACACGCAACAGAUCCCCUCCAUGGAAGGACCCUAUUCCACACGCAACAGAUCUGAUCCCCUCCAUGGAAGGACCCUAUUCCACAUGCAACAGAGCUGGUCCCCCUCCAUGGAAGGACCCUAUUCCACACGCAACAGAUCCCCUCCAUGGAAGGACCCUAUUCCACACGCAACAGAGCCGAGCCCCUCCAUGGAAGGACCCUAUUCCACACGCAACAGAUCCCCUCCAUGGAAGGACCCUAUUCCACAC